This 434-nucleotide ribosomal RNA is filed under the name uncultured Lachnospiraceae bacterium. Its description in RNAcentral is "partial 16S ribosomal RNA". It matches the Rfam family "Bacterial small subunit ribosomal RNA", at positions 341 to 792 of the family's 1533-position model. Lineage: Bacteria; Bacillati; Bacillota; Clostridia; Lachnospirales; Lachnospiraceae. The record is from RNAcentral.
ACGGAAGGCUGCAGUGGGGAAUAUUGGACAAUGGGGGAAACCCUGAUCCAGCGACGCCGCGUAAGUGAAGAAGUAUUUCGGUAUGUAAAGCUCUAUCAGCAGGGAAGAUAAUGACGGUACCUGACUAAGAAGCCCCGGCUAACUACGUGCCAGCAGCCGCGGUAAUACGUAGGGGGCAAGCGUUAUCCGGAUUUACUGGGUGUAAAGGGAGCGUAGACGGUAUUGCAAGUCUGAUGUGAAAACCCGGGGCUCAACCCCGGGACUGCAUUGGAAACUGUCUAACUAGAGUGCAGGAGGGGUAAGUGGAAUUCCUAGUGUAGCGGUGAAAUGCGUAGAUAUUAGGAGGAACACCGGUGGCGAAGGCGGCUUACUGGACUGUAACUGACGUUGAGGCUCGAAAGCGUGGGGAGUAAACAGGAUUAGAUACCCUGGUA